GGGGAGCUCUCUGAGCUGCCUCCAUGGAAGGCGGUAGUGAGAAGAGCGCUUUUCGGUAGGAGAAAGUGGAGGUAGAGUAGCAGGAGACACCAGAAAGAGUCUUCCAACCUUGGAUCCAACCUUGGAACCCGCCUGCUGGCCAGAUCCGGAGCUCCUCUGACUUUGAGCAGAGUAGCCUCUAGAGGGCGCGCUGGCCCCGCGCACCAGGACGCAGCUGUACGGCCCCAGGACUCCUUCCUCUCACCGAAUAGGAUCCGAUUUAGCACAAUCCGUAGUUAAACACGUGAGAGCCUAGCACAUGGUAGUACCCACGAGCAGCCGGGCUUCUGGCCAGGAGUGGCUGGCAGAACCUGGAGCUGAGAACAACAUCUGCCUCUAGCUCCAGGGUGCAAGGAGCAGGAGGCAGAGCGUGCCUAACGCAGGACAUGGUAACGUUCCCUACUGUGCCAGCUAAGAGUCCAGGGUUGAAGAGGCAGGAGGGAGGUCUCAGGAGCGCUUUGGAUCGUAACGUGGAUUCUGACCUGAAACCUGCAAAGAACAAACCUUUACAGGCCCCAGACAGUGAGACGUGUAUGGAGACGACAAAGGCAGCUUUCAGCUGGGCCACCCUCAUCCACACUCCCAGAGGGUCCAAGUCACUGCGUUGGCUCCUUGGAGACCUGUCUGUGCUGAGAUUAGAAAGCCACCAACCACCCCUCCCCAGCCAUGACUCUCAGACACAGCCCUCAGAAACAGAAUUCCCUGGCCCCCAUCUUCUCUGCUCACACGUCGACACCCAUGCCACCUGACUGCUCCUUUCUACCUUGGGCGUAUUCACUGGACCGUCUGUCUGACAGCGUCCCUCCUACUUAGGGUUAGUGUUGCUGUGAUGAAACACCAAUGACCGAAAGCAAAGUGGGGAGCAAAGGGUGUCAUUUGGCUUGUUCUUGCACAUUGUGGUCCCAUCACUGAAGUCAGAAAAGGGACUCAAGCAGGACAGGAACCUGAAGGAAGAAACUGAUGCAGAGGCCAUGAAGGAGUGCAGCUUUCUAACUUGCUCCUCCAUGGUCUGCUCAGCCUGCUUUUUUAUAGAACCCAGGACUACCUUGCCCAAGGAUGGCACCACCCACAAUGGGCUGGUGUUAAUCUCAAAGAUGGAAGGAGAAAGACCCCCGACCCAAUUCAUCAUGGUCAAAUUAAUUAAAGCAAGCAAUAAUUAAAGC
This 1202-nucleotide long non-coding RNA is filed under the name Mus pahari (shrew mouse). Its description in RNAcentral is "predicted gene 13496 (MGP_PahariEiJ_G0003277.1)". Lineage: Eukaryota; Metazoa; Chordata; Mammalia; Rodentia; Muridae. The record is from RNAcentral.